This 383-nucleotide ribosomal RNA is filed under the name uncultured Chitinophagaceae bacterium. RNAcentral's name for it is "bacterial SSU rRNA". It matches the Rfam family "Bacterial small subunit ribosomal RNA", at positions 441 to 822 of the family's 1533-position model. The record is from RNAcentral. Lineage: Bacteria; Pseudomonadati; Bacteroidota; Chitinophagia; Chitinophagales; Chitinophagaceae.
GGGGACGAAAAAGGGUCUUUUCAGAUCAACUGACGGUACCCUAGGAAUAAGCACCGGCUAACUCCGUGCCAGCAGCCGCGGUAAUACGGAGGGUGCAAGCGUUAUCCGGAUUUACUGGGUUGAAAGGGUGCGUAGGUGGAUUGGUAAGUCAGGGGUGAAAUCUUCGCCCUUAACUCGAAAACUGCCUUUGAUACUAUUCUGCUUGACUAUCCUGGAGGUGAGCGGAAUAUGUCAUGUAGCGGUGAAAUGCUUAGAUAUGACAUAGAACACCAAUUGCGAAGGCAGCUCACUACCGGAUUAUUGACACUGAGGCACGAAAGCAUGGGGAUCAAACAGGAUUAGAUACCCUGGUAGUCCACGCCCUAAACGAUGGAUACUCGACA